GACGAACGCUGGCGGCGUGCUUAACACAUGCAAGUCGAACGGAAAGGCCUGCUUUCCCUUGUGGUUUGCGGGUACUCGCGUGGCGAACGGGUGAGUACCACGUGAGUGAUCUGCUCCUAACUUGUGUAUAAGCCUGGGAAACUGAGUCUAAUUCUCGCUACGACUGCAGGGUGCUGCCUGUGGUGGAAAACGAUUUUCUUGUGUUUGGGGAUGAGCUCGCGGCCUAUCAGCUUGUUGGUGGGGUAAUGGCCUACCAAGGCGGGGACGGGUAGCCGGCCUGAGAGGGUGGACGGCCACAUUGGGACUGAGAUACGGCCCAGACUCCUACGGGAGGCAGCAGUGGGGAAUAUGACACAAUGGGCGGAAGCCUGAUGCAGCGACGCCGCGUGGGGGAUGACGGCCUUCGGGUUGUAAACUCCUUUCGACCGCGAGGAAGCCACCUGGUUGGAAGGGUGGUGACGGUAGUGGUAGAAGAAGCACCGGCUAACUACGUG
This 494-nucleotide ribosomal RNA is filed under the name uncultured bacterium. Its description in RNAcentral is "partial 16S ribosomal RNA". It matches the Rfam family "Bacterial small subunit ribosomal RNA", at positions 28 to 507 of the family's 1533-position model. The record is from RNAcentral.